GACGGCUGUAACUAUAACGGUCGUAAGGUAGCAAAUUUCCUUGUCGUCCAAAUAACGACCUGCAUGAAACAUAGAACGAUUGGAUAGCUGUCUUGCAUACAUGUCCUGCUAAAAUAUUAGGUGGUGUGAAGAUACGCUGUGAGAAUUAUUUUACUCAAAUCAAGGUUGUUAUAGGACAAAAAGACCCUGUGAAGCUUUAUAGGGAUAAAAUUCAGUACAGGUUCUAUAUCAAUAUAUCUUCAUUUCAUGGAAAAACCAACUUUAUUUCAUUCGAUAUGAACUUAGAAUUAUGCCUAUGUUUUCCAUAUAUGCAAGACACCAUCCUGUGAGAAUUGCGAAUUAAAGAACGAUUUGUGAAUAUCAUGUUAGAUGGGCUGUUUAAUUGGGGCGAUAACCUUCUUUAAUCAAACCAAAGGUGAACAAAGCUAUUGAUAUGGGCUACCGAAAAUCAAAGGACUAAUAAGUGCAAAGAUAGAUGUGUGGCUUAAUGGUUGCUAUAUUCCUUACCAGUAUUUAAAUGCUAUCUUAAUGACCUUUAAAUUAAUCUACCAACACCAAGCUACUCUAGGGAUAACAGGCUUAAUGUGUUCGAAAUAAGCUCACAUUAUAACAUCAUUGGCACCUCGAUGUCGGCUUAUCAUCACCAAAAUCUGUAGCUAGCUUAUUGGUGGGAGUGCUCAUCCCAUAACAAGGUACGUGAGCUGGGUUCAAUACG
This 715-nucleotide ribosomal RNA is filed under the name Polarella glacialis. Its description in RNAcentral is "partial 23S ribosomal RNA". It matches the Rfam family "Bacterial large subunit ribosomal RNA", at positions 1929 to 2618 of the family's 2925-position model. The record is from RNAcentral. Lineage: Eukaryota; Dinophyceae; Suessiales; Suessiaceae.